GAAUCAAAAUAAAGAUUAAGCUUCUAACUUAUAUCUAAAGCAGAUAAAUACUGUUUAUGAUUCU
This 64-nucleotide transfer RNA is filed under the name Aclees cribratus. RNAcentral describes it as "tRNA-Ser". Lineage: Eukaryota; Metazoa; Arthropoda; Insecta; Coleoptera; Curculionidae. The record is from RNAcentral. RNAcentral also lists the same sequence under 1 other name.